This 444-nucleotide ribosomal RNA is filed under the name uncultured bacterium. RNAcentral describes it as "partial 16S ribosomal RNA". It matches the Rfam family "Bacterial small subunit ribosomal RNA", at positions 331 to 792 of the family's 1533-position model. The record is from RNAcentral.
CCAGACUCCUACGGGAGGCAGCAGUGGGGGAUAUUGCACAAUGGGGGGAACCCUGAUGCAGCGACGCCGCGUGGGUGAAGAAGCGCCUCGGCGCGUAAAGCCCUGUCAGCAGGGAAGAAGAAAGACGGUACCUGACUAAGAAGCCCCGGCUAACUACGUGCCAGCAGCCGCGGUAAUACGUAGGGGGCUAGCGUUAUCCGGAAUUACUGGGCGUAAAGGGUGCGUAGGUGGUUUCUUAAGUCAGAGGUGAAAGGCUACGGCUCAACCGUAGUAAGCCUUUGAAACUGGGGAACUUGAGUGCAGGAGAGGAGAGUGGAAUUCCUAGUGUAGCGGUGAAAUGCGUAGAUAUUAGGAGGAACACCAGUGGCGAAGGCGGCUUACUGGACUGUAAAUGACGCUGAGGCUCGAAAGCGUGGGGAGCAAACAGGAUUAGAUACCCGAGUA